This is a long non-coding RNA of Vombatus ursinus (common wombat), 979 nucleotides long. RefSeq lists it as uncharacterized. Lineage: Eukaryota; Metazoa; Chordata; Mammalia; Diprotodontia; Vombatidae. The transcript has 2 exons. The record is from RefSeq and is a predicted model, not a curated record.
UUGUUUCCCUCCUUUUCUUCAGGGUUUUUGGAGAUGGUGACAACAACAAUAUCAAUUCUUCAGCAUCAGUUAUAGAAAUGUGGAUUGCUCCUGUUCGCAUCGUCACUGUCAAAAACACUGAAGAAAAGGAAAGUGUUUUUCUCCCCUAUAACGGCUGAGAAGGAGGCCCUCGGGACACAGGAUCUUGAUUAAAUAGUCUAGCCCUGAAUGACCUGUCGAAGAACUUUAGGACGGGCUGCAGAAACAAAGACUCUCCCUGUUCGAAGUGACCUCAGCAGCCAUUUCAUCUAACCCCUACAUGGAACAGAAUUCCCACCACCACGUACCCAGCCAGUGGUCAUCCAGAUGUUACUUAGAAGUCUCCGGUGAGGGACAAUUGAUCACUACUUUCCAAGACAGGACAGUCUGCUCUUAAGGUCAAAUUAUGAGGAAUUUUAUCCUUCCUCAAAGCCCUAACUUUCCUCUCUCCAUCUUCUCCUCACUUGUUCCAAGUCCUGCCCUCUCAGACAAAAUACAAGAACUCUUAUCCCUAUGUCACAUGCCAGAUGUUAAAAUACUUAAAGGAAACUAGUAAUAUUGGCAAAGACCAUCAGAUUUGGGGUUCAGAAGACUUGGAUUCAAAUCUUUUCUCCAUUACUUACCAUCUAUAUGACCCUAACCUUAAACUUCUAUGGGUGCCUGUUUUCUUAUCUAUAAAAUGAAGAGGUUGCUCUCUAGGGUUCCUUCAGGCCCUAAAUCCUGUUACCCUAUGAGCUCAGAUUAUCAAAAUGGGUAUACACAGCUCCAAAUGAAAUGGAUUGUGGAUAAUGGUCUGGCUAAUUGAUUUCAGAUAGUCAAAAAGAGCUGUCUACAUUGAUCAGAUUAACUGGGGAAUUGCCUCUUUCCCACUUCACUUUCUGCUGAAUAGACUGUUCUCUACUCAUCAUUUGUAAGUUAAACUGGAAGACGCAUAUUUUGCAUUUCAAAAAAAAAAGCCAUG